Molecule: ribosomal RNA, 1474 nt
Filed under: uncultured organism
Description: 16S ribosomal RNA
Rfam family: Bacterial small subunit ribosomal RNA
Source: RNAcentral
CGGCGUGCCUAAUACAUGCAAGUCGAACGAGUUCUUGUUGAUGAUCGGUGCUUGCACCAAGAUUCAACAUGGAACGAGUGGCGGACGGGUGAGUAACACGUGGGUAACCUGCCCUUAAGUGGGGGAUAACAUUUGGAAACAGAUGCUAAUACCGCAUAGAUCCAAGAACCGCAUGGUUCUUGGCUGAAAGAUGGCGUAAGCUAUCGCUUUUGGAUGGACCCGCGGCGUAUUAGCUAGUUGGUGAGGUAAUGGCUCACCAAGGCGAUGAUACGUAGCCGAACUGAGAGGUUGAUCGGCCACAUUGGGACUGAGACACGGCCCAAACUCCUACGGGAGGCAGCAGUAGGGAAUCUUCCACAAUGAACGCAAGUCUGAUGGAGCAACGCCGCGUGAGUGAAGAAGGCUUUCGGGUCGUAAAACUCUGUUGUUGGAGAAGAAUGGUCGGCAGAGUAACUGUUGUCGGCGUGACGGUAUCCAACCAGAAAGCCACGGCUAACUACGUGCCAGCAGCCGCGGUAAUACGUAGGUGGCAAGCGUUAUCCGGAUUUAUUGGGCGUAAAGCGAGCGCAGGCGGUUUUUUAAGUCUGAUGUGAAAGCCCUCGGCUUAACCGAGGAAGCGCAUCGGAAACUGGGAAACUUGAGUGCAGAAGAGGACAGUGGAACUCCAUGUGUAGCGGUGAAAUGCGUAGAUAUAUGGAAGAACACCAGUGGCGAAGGCGGCUGUCUGGUCUGUAACUGACGCUGAGGCUCGAAAGCAUGGGUAGCGAACAGGAUUAGAUACCCUGGUAGUCCAUGCCGUAAACGAUGAAUGCUAGGUGUUGGAGGGUUUCCGCCCUUCAGUGCCGCAGCUAACGCAUUAAGCAUUCCGCCUGGGGAGUACGACCGCAAGGUUGAAACUCAAAGGAAUUGACGGGGGCCCGCACAAGCGGUGGAGCAUGUGGUUUAAUUCGAAGCAACGCGAAGAACCUUACCAGGUCUUGACAUCUUUUGAUCACCUGAGAGAUCAGGUUUCCCCUUCGGGGGCAAAAUGACAGGUGGUGCAUGGUUGUCGUCAGCUCGUGUCGUGAGAUGUUGGGUUAAGUCCCGCAACGAGCGCAACCCUUAUGACUAGUUGCCAGCAUUUAGUUGGGCACUCUAGUAAGACUGCCGGUGACAAACCGGAGGAAGGUGGGGAUGACGUCAAAUCAUCAUGCCCCUUAUGACCUGGGCUACACACGUGCUACAAUGGAUGGUACAACGAGUUGCGAGACCGCGAGGUCAAGCUAAUCUCUUAAAGCCAUUCUCAGUUCGGACUGUAGGCUGCAACUCGCCUACACGAAGUCGGAAUCGCUAGUAAUCGCGGAUCAGCACGCCGCGGUGAAUACGUUCCCGGGCCUUGUACACACCGCCCGUCACACCAUGAGAGUUUGUAACACCCGAAGCCGGUGGCGUAACCCUUUUAGGGAGCGAGCCGUCUAAGGUGGGACAAAUGAUU